GUGCUCACUUGGGCAGCAUGGACACUAAAAUUGGAAUACUACAGAGAUUAGUGUGGCCCCUGCACAGGGAUGACAUGCAAGUUCAUGAAGCAUUUUAAAAAUAU
This is a small nuclear RNA of Otolemur garnettii (small-eared galago), 104 nucleotides long. The record is from Ensembl. Lineage: Eukaryota; Metazoa; Chordata; Mammalia; Primates; Galagidae.